AUUGAACGCUGGCGGCAUGCCUUACACAUGCAAGUCGAACGGCAGCACGGGAGCAAUCCUGGUGGCGAGUGGCGAACGGGUGAGUAAUAUAUCGGAACGUGCCCAGUCGUGGGGAUAACGUAGCGAAAGCUACGCUAAUACCGCAUACGAUCUAUGGAUGAAAGCGGGGGAUCGCAAGACCUCGCGCGAUUGGAGCGGCCGAUAUCAGAUUAGGUAGUUGGUGAGGUAAAGGCUCACCAAGCCGACGAUCUGUAGCUGGUCUGAGAGGACGACCAGCCACACUGGGACUGAGACACGGCCCAGACUCCUACGGGAGGCAGCAGUGGGGAAUUUUGGACAAUGGGCGCAAGCCUGAUCCAGCAAUGCCGCGUGCAGGAUGAAGGCCUCGGUGUAACUGCUUUGUUACGGUAACGAACGGUAGAG
This 423-nucleotide ribosomal RNA is filed under the name uncultured bacterium. RNAcentral's name for it is "bacterial SSU rRNA". It matches the Rfam family "Bacterial small subunit ribosomal RNA", at positions 30 to 458 of the family's 1533-position model. The record is from RNAcentral.